Molecule: ribosomal RNA, 440 nt
Filed under: uncultured bacterium
Lineage: Bacteria
Description: partial 16S ribosomal RNA
Rfam family: Bacterial small subunit ribosomal RNA
Source: RNAcentral
CUACGGGGGGCUCCAGUGAGGAAUAUUGCACAAUGGGGGGAACCCUGAUGCAGCAACGCCGCGUGGAGGAUGACGCAUUUCGGUGUGUAAACUCCUUUUAUAUGUCAAGAAAAUGACGGUAGCAUAUGAAUAAGCACCGGCUAACAUCCGUGCCAGCAGCCGCGGUAAUACGGAGGGUGCAAGCGUUACUCGGAAUCACUGGGCGGAAAGGACGCGUAGGCGGGUUGGAAAGUCAGGUGUGAAAUCCUACGGCUUAACUGUAGAACUGCACUUGAAACUUCUAAUCUAGAGUAUGGGAGGGGGGGAUAGAAUUAGUGGUGUAGGGGUAAAAUCCGUAGAUAUCACUAGGAAUACCUAAAGCGAAGGCGAUCUCCUGGAACAUUACUGACGCUAAGGCGUGAAAGCGUGGGGAGCAAACAGGAUUAGAUACCCGGGUAGUC